RNAcentral lists this ribosomal RNA (114 nucleotides) under Spirodela intermedia. The record is from RNAcentral. Lineage: Eukaryota; Viridiplantae; Streptophyta; Magnoliopsida; Alismatales; Araceae.
GCGAUCAUACCAGCACUAAUGCACGGAUCCCAUCAGAACUCCGAAGUUAAGCGUGCUUGGGCGAGAGUAGUACUAAGAUGGGUGACCUCUUGGGAAGUCCUCGUGUUGCACCCC